This 497-nucleotide ribosomal RNA is filed under the name uncultured bacterium. RNAcentral's name for it is "partial 16S ribosomal RNA". It matches the Rfam family "Bacterial small subunit ribosomal RNA", at positions 28 to 507 of the family's 1533-position model. The record is from RNAcentral.
GAUGAACGCUGGCGGCGUGCCUAAUACAUGCAAGUCGAGCGAACAGAUCAUGAGCUUGCGGCUCUGACGUUAGCGGCGGACGGGUGAGUAACGCGUGGAUAACCUACCUAUAAGACGGGUAUAACUUCGGGAAACCGGAUCUAAUACCGUAUAAUAUAUUGAACCGCAGGGGUCAAUAGUGAAAUACGGUUUUUGGGUCACUUAUAGAGGGAUCCGCGCCGGAUUGGAUGGUUGGUAAGGUAACGGCUUAGCAAGGCAACUAGGGGUAGACGAGGUGAUGGACGGGUAGGCGACACUGGAACGGGACCACCGACAAGAGUCCUGCGGGAGGGCGCAGAAGCGAACGUUAGGCAACGGGCGAAAGCAUGACGCAACAACGGCGAGCGUGUGACGAAGGCCCUGGGAUCGUAAAACUCUGCUACUAGGGAAGAACCACUGUGUCAGUAAACGAGCCGGUAUUGACGGUAACUAAUAAGAAAGCACCGGCUAACUACGUG